GGGGAAUUAGCUCAGAUGGGAGAGCGCGUGGUUCGCAAUCACGAGGCCACCGGUUCGAUCCCGGUAUUCUCCACCA
RNAcentral lists this transfer RNA (76 nucleotides) under Eubacteriales Family XIII. Incertae Sedis bacterium. RNAcentral's name for it is "tRNA-Ala". It matches the Rfam family "tRNA". From Rfam's summary of the family: Transfer RNA (tRNA) molecules are approximately 80 nucleotides in length. Their secondary structure includes four short double-helical elements and three loops (D, anti-codon, and T loops). Further hydrogen bonds mediate the characteristic L-shaped molecular structure. tRNAs have two regions of fundamental functional importance: the anti-codon, which is responsible for specific mRNA codon recognition, and the 3' end, to which the tRNAs corresponding amino acid is attached (by aminoacyl-tRNA synthetases). tRNAs cope with the degeneracy of the genetic code in two manners: having more than one tRNA (with a specific anti-codon) for a particular amino acid; and 'wobble' base-pairing, i.e. permitting non-standard base-pairing at the 3rd anti-codon position. Lineage: Bacteria; Bacillati; Bacillota; Clostridia; Peptostreptococcales; Anaerovoracaceae. The record is from RNAcentral.